Molecule: non-coding RNA, 176 nt
Organism: Oryza meridionalis
Lineage: Eukaryota; Viridiplantae; Streptophyta; Magnoliopsida; Poales; Poaceae
Source: Rfam
AACCACACUAUCAAUGAAUGGAUUCACCCGUGAUAUGAUGUGGUUGUUCCACUUAGGACGAGGACGUGGCAUCCUAUUAUCAACCAUUGCACGAAAUUAAUAGGAUGCCACGUUCUCAUCCUAGGUGGAACAACCACGUUAUCUCAUAGGUGAAUCCAUUCAUUGAUAGUGUGGUU